UUAUACAACCUCAACUCAUAUGGGACUACCCCCUGAAUUUAAGCAUAUUAAUUAGGGGAGGAAAAGAAACUAACAAGGAUUUUCUUAGUAGCGGCGAGCGAAAAGAAAACAGUUCAGCACUAAGUCACUUUGUCUAUAUGGCAAAUGUGAGAUGCAGUGUAUGGAACAUCUAUAUUCUAGUAUGAGAAAUUAACGAUUUAAGUCCUUCUUAAAUGAGGCCAUUUACCCAUAGAGGGUGCCAGGCCCGUAUAACGUUAAUGAUUACUAGAUGAUGAUUUCCAAAGAGUCGUGUUGCUUGAUAGUGCAGCACUAAGUGGGUGGUAAACUCCAUCUAAAACUAAAUAUAACCAUGAGACCGAUAGUAAACAAGUACCGUGAGGGAAAGUUGAAAAGAACUCUGAAUAGAGAGUUAAAUAGUACGUGAAACUGCUUAGAGGUUAAGCCCGAUGAACCUGAAUAUCCAUUAUGGGAAAUUCAUCAUUAUAAUUAUAAUAUUUAAUAAAUAUUAUAAUAAUAGUGUGCAUUUUUCCCAUAUAAGGACAUUGUAAUCUAUUAGCAUAUACAAAAUUUAUCAUAAAAUAUGGCUUAUAGUUUAUUCAAAUUAUUAUGGCUUGCCCAUUGAUAACAUAGAAUAAAUGUCAUUAAAUUUGAUAAAGUGCUGAUAGAUUGAUAUGAAUACAGUGUGUUAAUUUUUCGAAAUUAUAUAAUGAUAUUUAUAUCUAUGAUAUUUAUAUUUAUUAUAGGCACUUGUAUGAUUAACAAUGCGAAAGAUUCAUGAUACCUUCGGGACCCGUCUUGAAACACGGACCAAGGAGUCUAACAUAUAUGCAAGUCAUUGGGAUUUAUUUUAUAAACCUAAUGGCGUAAUUAACUUGACUACCAAUACAAAUGGGAUUAGUUUUUAAAUUAUUUUAUAUAGUUUAUUAAUUCAAUCCCGGGGCGCUCUAUAUAGUUAUGUAUAAUAAUAUUUAUAUUAUUUAUACCUCUAACUGGAACGUACCUUGAGCAUAUAUGCUGUGACCCGAAAGAUGGUGAACU
RNAcentral lists this ribosomal RNA (1038 nucleotides) under Drosophila stonei. RNAcentral describes it as "eukaryotic LSU rRNA". It matches the Rfam family "Eukaryotic large subunit ribosomal RNA", at positions 1 to 832 of the family's 3401-position model. The record is from RNAcentral. Lineage: Eukaryota; Metazoa; Arthropoda; Insecta; Diptera; Drosophilidae.